ACGGGCGUAGCUCAACUGGUAGAGUGGCGGUCUCCAAAACCGUAGGUUGCGGGUUCGAUUCCUGCCGCCCGUG
Molecule: transfer RNA, 73 nt
Filed under: Ignavibacteria bacterium
Lineage: Bacteria; Pseudomonadati; Ignavibacteriota; Ignavibacteria
Also listed under: 2 other names
Description: tRNA-Trp
Rfam family: tRNA
About the family: Transfer RNA (tRNA) molecules are approximately 80 nucleotides in length.
Source: RNAcentral